AGGAGUUUGAUCCUGGCUCAGGAUGAACGCUAGCGGCAGGCCUAAUACAUGCAAGUCGAGGGGCAGCAGUACUUUUCGGAGUAGCUGGCGACCGGCGCACGGGUGCGUAACGCGUAUGCAAUCUACCCACAGCACAGGGAUAGCCCGUGGAAACAUGGAUUAAUACCUGAUAACACAUUGUUUUCACCUGGGGACGAUGUUAAAGUUAUAACGGCAGUGGAUGAGCAUGCGUCCCAUUAGCUAGUUGGUGAGAUAACGGCUCACCAAGGCGAUGAUGGGUAGGGGUUCUGAGAGGAUGAUCCCCCACACUGGUACUGAGAUACGGACCAGACUCCUACGGGAGGCAGCAGUAGGGAAUAUUGGUCAAUGGACGCAAGUCUGAACCAGCCAUGCCGCGUGCAGGAAGACGGCCUUCUGGGUUGUAAACUGCUUUUCUCAGGGAAGAAAAACGCUCUUGCGAGAGCACUUGCCGGUACCUGAGGAAUAAGCACCGGCUAACUCCGUGCCAGCAGCCGCGGUAAUACGGAGGGUGCAAGCGUUGUCCGGAUUUAUUGGGUUUAAAGGGUGCGUAGGCGGCCCGUUAAGUCAGUGGUGAAAGGUAUCAGCUUAACUGAUGAAGUGCCAUUGAAACUGAAGGGCUUGAGUACAGACGAGGUAGGCGGAAUUUAUGGUGUAGCGGUGAAAUGCAUAGAUACCAUA
Molecule: ribosomal RNA, 699 nt
Filed under: uncultured bacterium
Lineage: Bacteria
Description: bacterial SSU rRNA
Rfam family: Bacterial small subunit ribosomal RNA
Source: RNAcentral